This 243-nucleotide small RNA is filed under the name Tursiops truncatus (common bottlenose dolphin). RNAcentral's name for it is "7SK RNA (ENSTTRG00000024987.1)". The record is from RNAcentral. Lineage: Eukaryota; Metazoa; Chordata; Mammalia; Artiodactyla; Delphinidae.
AGAUAAGAAUUAAGGGUGACAUUUGUCAUCCCAUUGAUUGCCAGGGUUUGGUUGGAUAUUUUGGCUGCCUGAAUUGUUGUUUUCGUCUUUCCUCAUGUGCUUCCCACCCACAGUUGCGUAUCUGAAAGGAAUGACCCUUCUAGGUAGAGGAGGAGAAGGAUCAUUUAAAUUUCUUAACAAUGAUGCUAGGGUGUCAGAAGGCUCUAAAAUUCAUGCUGGCCAGGAUGGCUGCUUUACCACUAU